GUCAGUGUGGCCGAGUGGUUAAGGCGAUAGACUAGAAAUCUAUUACAUUCGUGUGCACAGGUUCGAGUCCUGUCGCUGACG
Transfer RNA from Aspergillus wentii DTO 134E9, 81 nucleotides. It matches the Rfam family "tRNA". From Rfam's summary of the family: Transfer RNA (tRNA) molecules are approximately 80 nucleotides in length. Their secondary structure includes four short double-helical elements and three loops (D, anti-codon, and T loops). NCBI's taxonomy places the organism in Eukaryota, Fungi, Ascomycota, Eurotiomycetes, Eurotiales, Aspergillaceae. The record is from Rfam.